GUUCAAGGGAACGGAGUGCGCGUUGUUGUGCGAGAAAAUAAAACGUGGUUUAUAUCAAAAAUUAAUUAAAAACCUUGAAAACCGCGUGUUAACGUAUUGUUCGCGUCUGCUGGGUAGGAUCGAACAAGAAAUUAGGCGGUAUUAAGUUAGGCACUCAUCUGGAAAAACCUACCACGUGUGUGUCGCUGUAAACGAACAGGUAAAUUUCCAGCUAAGUUGGCUCUCGAACGAAUUUUAAUUUACACGUUUAGCAGGAUUCCCAUCCCACUAAACGUGGGCGCUAGUCUGGAGUACGUUAACCUCAAAAUACUAGCCGGCCGAUCAAAUAAAGCUGAUCGGAAGUGGUACCUUGAGCCUGUAAGGUGCCUAAAGGGAGUCGGUUCGUUCGUUGGUGUCGUCGGAAGUAUCGGAGUCGGUCGUCUGUUGGAACUUCGCCAAAAAACGCUUGAGUGCAACGAUUUGGCCGUGGUGAUCACUUGGGCGAUCCACGGUCACCGGUGUCCGUUCAACUUAGCACUUGCAAGCUGUUCCACCGACCUGGCCUUGAAGACUACCAACCACAAGAAGCCUGUCUGUUUUCCUCCGUACCGGGAGAGGUCGGGAAUUUUCGUUCGUCGUCGCGCAUUUGCGACUGCCUGGACAAGAGCUCAACUGUUAAAGAGCCUCGUGGGUGACUCGGACGCGAGUUCAUGUGUCUCGUGCCUGCUGACCAAGCCAACCAGGUCAGUGGUGUCCAGACUGAUUGUUGCAGAUUACGGGCGGGAAGGACCGCCGCUUGAAAAUGGAGUCAUCACAUCGUUCCGGAAGCCGCAAGAGAGAAAAUCAUAGAAGGUCAGACCAAACCAUGUUAAAUUUUUAUACCCAAUAUUAUGUAACAGUUUAGAAGAGGGGGCCCCUUACCUCAUUAAUGAGAAUACAAAAAUGUACUGUUAGCUAAAAUCUCAAA
Long non-coding RNA from Uranotaenia lowii, 946 nucleotides. RefSeq lists it as uncharacterized. The transcript has 2 exons. The record is from RefSeq and is a predicted model, not a curated record. Lineage: Eukaryota; Metazoa; Arthropoda; Insecta; Diptera; Culicidae.